RNAcentral lists this ribosomal RNA (547 nucleotides) under uncultured bacterium. RNAcentral's name for it is "bacterial SSU rRNA". It matches the Rfam family "Bacterial small subunit ribosomal RNA", at positions 355 to 896 of the family's 1533-position model. The record is from RNAcentral.
UAGGGAAUUUUUCACAAUGAGCGAAAGCUUGAUGGAGCAAUGCCGCGUGAACGAUGAAGGUCUUUAAGAUUGUAAAGUUCUUUUAUUUGGGAAGAAUGACUUUAGCAGGUAAUGGCUAGAGUUUGACUGUACCAUUUUGAAUAAGUGACGACUAACUAUGUGCCAGCAGUCGCGGUAAUACAUAGGUCGCAAGCGUUAUCCGGAUUUAUUGGGCGUAAAGCAAGCGCAGGCGGAUUGAAAAGUCUGGUGUUAAAGGCAGCUGCCUAACAGUUGUAUGCAUUGGAAACUAUUAAUCUAGAGUGUGGUAGGGAGUUUUGGAAUUUCAUGUGGAGCGGUGAAAUGCGUAGAUAUAUGAAGGAACACCAGUGGCGAAGGCGAAAACUUAGGCCAUUACUGACGCUUAGGCUUGAAAGUGUGGGGAGCAAAUAGGAUUAGAUACCCUAGUAGUCCACACCGUAAACGAUAGAUACUAGCUGUCGGGGCGAUCCCCUCGGUAGUGAAGUUAACACAUUAAGUAUCUCGCCUGGGUAGUACAUUCGCAAGAAUG